UCUCCUUCUCUUUUUCCAGUGCUUCACCUAAGUAUCGGGGAGACUGAUGCAGGCAGGCAAGCGGUCCUGCUUAGCAGAAGGAGAAUCUACUCAGGACCUGAGAAGCCAGGAACAGAGAAAAGAUAACCGGGAGAAGCCUGUGGAAGGGUCUAAUGGAGUCAAACGGAUCCCCAUGACAUACAACAGAACGAAGGAGGCCCGCAAGGUUUCUGAGAAUGUCACACCAGCGGAAGCACCACCAGCUUGACCUAAGAAGACAAAAUGAAAGAGGGCUGUAGAAGUCCCCAAAUUCUAUGGACAGGAAGCAGGAGCACUAAAAACAGGUGACUUGUCUUCAUUUUGUACAGAAAAGGAAUUCGUUUCCCAGUGGUGGAGCAGGGUAAAUGGAAAAGGCAGGACAGAAGAAUGAUGAGAGACACUCUGUGUGAAAAAAUGAAAUGGAAUAGAAAGAGACUCCAAAUAGAACAGAAUUUUUUGUGAUAACGCUGGCCUUUCACGUCAGUGGGAGGAGAAUGGAUUACCUGAGAAUGACUAGCCAUUAAAUAAAGGUAAAUUUCUGCUCAAGGCCACAUCCAAAAUAAAGAUUUAAAUGUGAAAAAAAAAAAAAAACCAAACCCACAAAACUUUACAGUUCUAAGAAAUAAUGAAAUAAAUAUCUUAUAAUCUUGGAAGGUCUUUCUAAGGGUUCCAGAAAGUACAAAAAUCAUAAAGAAAAAUACAGAAGAUAAUUUGACUUCAUAAACAUUUAUCAUGAAAACUUAUGUAUACCAAAUACUAAAUAAUAUUAAAAAGCAAAUGGGGAGACAAUAUUUUUGGUGCCUAUGAAAGAGUUAAUCACAAGAUAUUUAUCAGUGGAAGAUAUAAUAAUAAAACAUUUAGAAAUCAACAAGAAAAAGAGGAACAAGUUAAUUCAAAGCAGACAAAAGAAAUGAACAUCACUUUACAUAAGAAGAAAUGUGAGUAAAUGGCCAGUGAACCCAUGGAAAAUAUAUUUAACUUCCUUGGCAAAAGUCAAGAAUUGCACAUUUUAAACAACUGAAAGUUAAUUUUUCUUCCAAAAAAUUGGCAAAGAUAAAAAUAAAAAUGCUGGCAGUGUUACAGGGAAAUUAGUGCUUGUUUUUAUACCACUUGUGGCCAUGUAAAUUGCUAUAACUUUUCUCAAGGGAUAUUUGGCAAUAUACAGAAGAAAAGCCUUACGAUUUCACUGUGCUGUGACCCAGAAAUUCUACUAGUGAGAAUCAGUCUGAAAGGAAAAAUCAUGGAUAUGUGCAAAGAUUUUGCUUUUAGAAUGUUGAUCAAAGCCUCUUUAUAAUAACUAAAAAUUGGACACAGCUAAAGUCCCCGACAAUAGAGAAUCAGUUAAAUGUACCAUGAUGUAUGGUGCACAGUGGAACUUCAUGUAACCUUAUCAUGUUGUAGAAAAAAAUAUAUUGCAUGUCACUAUUA
Mustela erminea (ermine) is the source of this 1446-nucleotide long non-coding RNA. RefSeq lists it as uncharacterized. NCBI's taxonomy places the organism in Eukaryota, Metazoa, Chordata, Mammalia, Carnivora, Mustelidae. The transcript has 3 exons. The record is from RefSeq and is a predicted model, not a curated record.